This 1369-nucleotide non-coding RNA is filed under the name Pongo abelii (Sumatran orangutan). Lineage: Eukaryota; Metazoa; Chordata; Mammalia; Primates; Hominidae. The record is from RNAcentral.
ACACUGACUUCAAAUAUCUUUGGGAAUUUGUGCUCUUUAUUUACUGAGUGCUUGAGAAGAAAAGACAAAGCCAGUGGAAUGGUCCGAGUGUGGCAUCCGCUGCAUUUAUAAAGAAUAAGAGCUGCAGUGGGUGUGAUUCUUGGACAGAGUGGCGCUCAUCCUUGUUCCUGCAAUGAAGGACAUGCCAGCCUCCAGGCUCUUUGACAGAUGAUUGGAACUGUGCAAAUAUUAUGGAAGAUAUCCCGUGUCAAGAAGCUGACAGCACACACGUUUGGGAAGGAUUUAGCGGCUGAAGCACUUCUAGAAGACACCACCAAAAUGAAACAGUCUACUAUCAGCAAAGAAUGCCAGAGCAAGAGUGUGAAACAGAGCACAGAGCCGUGAUGCUGCCCCCUGCCGGUGGUGCAGGAGAAAGGACUCAACCUCAGUCUACGACUCCUGCCAAGAGUUAUCAGCCACACUAGAAACUAAAGGGUGAAAACAGGGUUUCUCUGCUGCAAUUCCAUCUCUUCCUCUAGAAACUUGUCGUAGGAAUGACUCCCUGUAACUUCCCACACCUGCCUCUUCUUUCCUUAAGUGGUGGCUAACAGAAUCCUUUCCUUCCUCGGUCCUUGCUAAGUGACUGAAUUCAGAAACUCCUGGACAAUAUUACAACCAUCUGUAUUAUUGGUCUUUGGAGCUCUAGACUUAUUUUAGAAAGAAAAAUGUGGCAAAUCAUCCAAGAAUUUCCCUGUGCACAGCAUAGGGAUCUGUUUCUCUUACCAUCAGAAAGGGAUUCAUAGUCAUAAUCAUAUUCGUCCUCCUCAUCUUCCUCUUCCUCAUUAUUGGCAGGUGGGGGGUUGGCAUUCCCACCAUUAUAAGCCUGCACUUGCAUAGAUGCUAACUGAUGAGCCUGUAAAAUAGCAAUAAUUGUAAACUGCAGAUGCCAAGCUACUGAAUUCAUUUAUAACCUUUAAAACUACCCCUGAUGUUUAACACAAUCAUUAAAAGUGGCUUAACCUAUUUUGAUACAUUUGGGAGAGGAGAAAAAAAUCUAGAUUCACUCAAAAUGCAAUGUCAACACUUGGGUGAACGUCAGCAUUCCUACAGGAAGAAUCCUGGAGCUUUUAUAAACAAUCUCCAGAAGACUGUGUGCGGUGCCCAGCUAGCCAGGUUCCCAGGACAACCCCUCCAAGAGAAAGCGCUGGUGAUUUGGAGAACCAGCAUCAAUCCCAAAUGACUGAAGAAGCGAAUCACCCAUCAAUUUUUCAGAAGUAUGUCUCUGUUAAGAAACCAUUUUUUCCCCUUCUUAAAAUAAUAUCUACAGGCUCCUGACCUUGAGAACAAUGUUAGAAUCUCUAUGGACAAAGAGGCCAAAAGAAUUGUUGUU